RNAcentral lists this ribosomal RNA (482 nucleotides) under uncultured bacterium. Its description in RNAcentral is "partial 16S ribosomal RNA". It matches the Rfam family "Bacterial small subunit ribosomal RNA", at positions 28 to 507 of the family's 1533-position model. The record is from RNAcentral.
GACGAACGCUGGCGGCGUGCUUAACACAUGCAAGUCGAACGAUGAAGAAGAGAAACGCGAACUUCGGUUCAAAUUUCACUUCGGAUUAGUGGCAGACGGGUGAGUAACGCGUGAGCAACCUACCUCUUACAAAGGGAUAGCCUCGGGAAACCGUGAUUAAUACCAUAUGACACAUUCAUAAGGCAUCUUAAGAAUGUUAAAGCUACGGCGGUAAGAGAUGGGCUCGCGUCCCAUUAGCUAGUUGGUAAGGUAACGGCCCACCAAGGCGACGAUGGGUAACCGGCCUGAGAGGGUGAACGGUCACAUUGGAACUGAGACACGGUCCAAACUCCUACGGGAGGCAGCAGUGGGGAAUAUUGCACAAUGGAGGGAACUCUGAUGCAGCGACGCCGCGUGAGCGAUGAAGGAAUUCGUUUCGUAAAGCUCUGUUCUAUGGGAAGAAAAGGACUGUACCAUAGGAGAAAGCCCCGGCUAAAUACGUG